Molecule: ribosomal RNA, 1541 nt
Filed under: Salmonella enterica subsp. enterica serovar Newport
Lineage: Bacteria; Pseudomonadati; Pseudomonadota; Gammaproteobacteria; Enterobacterales; Enterobacteriaceae
Description: bacterial SSU rRNA
Rfam family: Bacterial small subunit ribosomal RNA
Source: RNAcentral
AAAUUGAAGAGUUUGAUCAUGGCUCAGAUUGAACGCUGGCGGCAGGCCUAACACAUGCAAGUCGAACGGUAACAGGAAGCAGCUUGCUGCUUCGCUGACGAGUGGCGGACGGGUGAGUAAUGUCUGGGAAACUGCCUGAUGGAGGGGGAUAACUACUGGAAACGGUGGCUAAUACCGCAUAACGUCGCAAGACAAAGAGGGGGACCUUCGGGCCUCUUGCCAUCAGAUGUGCCCAGAUGGGAUUAGCUAGUUGGUGAGGUAACGGCUCACCAAGGCGACGAUCCCUAGCUGGUCUGAGAGGAUGACCAGCCACACUGGAACUGAGACACGGUCCAGACUCCUACGGGAGGCAGCAGUGGGGAAUAUUGCACAAUGGGCGCAAGCCUGAUGCAGCCAUGCCGCGUGUAUGAAGAAGGCCUUCGGGUUGUAAAGUACUUUCAGCGGGGAGGAAGGUGUUGUGGUUAAUAACCACAGCAAUUGACGUUACCCGCAGAAGAAGCACCGGCUAACUCCGUGCCAGCAGCCGCGGUAAUACGGAGGGUGCAAGCGUUAAUCGGAAUUACUGGGCGUAAAGCGCACGCAGGCGGUCUGUCAAGUCGGAUGUGAAAUCCCCGGGCUCAACCUGGGAACUGCAUUCGAAACUGGCAGGCUUGAGUCUUGUAGAGGGGGGUAGAAUUCCAGGUGUAGCGGUGAAAUGCGUAGAGAUCUGGAGGAAUACCGGUGGCGAAGGCGGCCCCCUGGACAAAGACUGACGCUCAGGUGCGAAAGCGUGGGGAGCAAACAGGAUUAGAUACCCUGGUAGUCCACGCCGUAAACGAUGUCUACUUGGAGGUUGUGCCCUUGAGGCGUGGCUUCCGGAGCUAACGCGUUAAGUAGACCGCCUGGGGAGUACGGCCGCAAGGUUAAAACUCAAAUGAAUUGACGGGGGCCCGCACAAGCGGUGGAGCAUGUGGUUUAAUUCGAUGCAACGCGAAGAACCUUACCUGGUCUUGACAUCCACAGAACUUUCCAGAGAUGGAUUGGUGCCUUCGGGAACUGUGAGACAGGUGCUGCAUGGCUGUCGUCAGCUCGUGUUGUGAAAUGUUGGGUUAAGUCCCGCAACGAGCGCAACCCUUAUCCUUUGUUGCCAGCGGUUAGGCCGGGAACUCAAAGGAGACUGCCAGUGAUAAACUGGAGGAAGGUGGGGAUGACGUCAAGUCAUCAUGGCCCUUACGACCAGGGCUACACACGUGCUACAAUGGCGCAUACAAAGAGAAGCGACCUCGCGAGAGCAAGCGGACCUCAUAAAGUGCGUCGUAGUCCGGAUUGGAGUCUGCAACUCGACUCCAUGAAGUCGGAAUCGCUAGUAAUCGUGGAUCAGAAUGCCACGGUGAAUACGUUCCCGGGCCUUGUACACACCGCCCGUCACACCAUGGGAGUGGGUUGCAAAAGAAGUAGGUAGCUUAACCUUCGGGAGGGCGCUUACCACUUUGUGAUUCAUGACUGGGGUGAAGUCGUAACAAGGUAACCGUAGGGGAACCUGCGGUUGGAUCACCUCCUUA